AUUGAACGCUGGCGGCAGGCCUAACACAUGCAAGUCGAACGGUAACAGGAAGAAGCUUGCCUCUUUGCUGACGAGUGGCGGACGGGUGAGUAAUGUCUGGGAAACUGCCUGAUGGAGGGGGAUAACUACUGGAAACGGUAGCUAAUACCGCAUAACGUCGCAAGACCAAAGAGGGGGACCUUCGGGCCUCUUGCCAUCGGAUGUGCCCAGAUGGGAUUAGCUAGUAGGUGGGGUAACGGCUCACCUAGGCGACGAUCCCUAGCUGGUCUGAGAGGAUGACCAGCCACACUGGAACUGAGACACGGUCCAGACUCCUACGGGAGGCAGCAGUGGGGAAUAUUACACAAUGGGCGCAAGCCUGAUGCAGCCAUGCCGCGUGUAUGAAGAAGGCCUUCGGGUUGUAAAGUACUUUCAGCGGGGAGGAAGGGAGUAAAGUUAAUACCUUUGCUCAUUGACGUUACCCGCAGAAGAAGCACCGGCUAACUCCGUG
This 490-nucleotide ribosomal RNA is filed under the name uncultured bacterium. RNAcentral's name for it is "partial 16S ribosomal RNA". It matches the Rfam family "Bacterial small subunit ribosomal RNA", at positions 30 to 507 of the family's 1533-position model. The record is from RNAcentral.